RNAcentral lists this long non-coding RNA (220 nucleotides) under Prunus persica (peach). Its description in RNAcentral is "long non-coding RNA (PPER_LNC000033)". The record is from RNAcentral. Lineage: Eukaryota; Viridiplantae; Streptophyta; Magnoliopsida; Rosales; Rosaceae.
UAGAAUCUGGAAGUAAGGCCGAAAAAGGUUUGGAUUUGCUGAGACUAAAAUGGCUGUAUAUACUAUGUGAUGUGUUAUAUUAUGUGGGGGGCCUUUCUUAUGUUUUUUAUUUUAUCUAUUUUGUUCAUGUACAAUACCCGUCCAAUAUAUAUAUAUAUAUAUAUAUAUAUAUUCAGAGAGCUUCCAUUGAGGGAUCUCUCAAAUAAUUGUAGGCCCCAUU